Papaver somniferum (opium poppy) is the source of this 1456-nucleotide long non-coding RNA. RefSeq lists it as uncharacterized. The record is from RefSeq and is a predicted model, not a curated record. The transcript has 2 exons. NCBI's taxonomy places the organism in Eukaryota, Viridiplantae, Streptophyta, Magnoliopsida, Ranunculales, Papaveraceae.
UAAACUCGUGUCUUCUUUUCUUCUUCUUUCAUUAUUCUUCUUAUUUCUUCUUCUUCUCAUCUUCUUCUCUUUCCUACUCUUUCUGUUUUUCUUCUUCUGCGAAUUUGAGAGACGAGUUUGAGAAUCAGUUAGAGAGAAUCGUUUGAUGAGCGAGAUGAUGAGGGUUCGAAUCAUUAAGGAGAACAAGUAGGGAUUGUUAGGGUUUCUGUUUGAAGUGUUGAAUCGGUGAAGAAUUGAAGAAUUGGAGUUAAUAGAUUCAAUUGAAGUUCUAAAAUCAUCUUAAAGAUGAACUGAGAAUUAGGGUUCCUGAAUCUGGGUUGAUAUUCGAUUAAAGAUUAAUUAGAAGAUGAAAUCGAUAUCUGUAAGGUUGAUUUGAUAUGGGUUUAUGUCUAGUUAUGAAGUUGAUGCAGUAAAGAAUCAAGGGGUUAGGGUUUCCGCAUGUUGUGUUGGAAUUCUAUUUGAGCAAAAAUUAAGAAGAUAUAUACGGAAUUACAAGAUAGGUUUUACUAAAUUAGAGUUUGAGAUUGAAAAACAGCUUGAAAUUGGUAGUUAGGGUUGGAUCUGUUUAAAUGAAGAUUUGGGGUUAUAUUGAGAACUGAUGUUGUUAAUGAGGGUUGUGGAGAUGGUUAGCUGAAUUAUGUGAUAAAGAGGAUUUAAUCUCAAUUUCCUGAGACAAAUAAAUCAAAGAGAGAAUGAGUUUGCAGGUUUGUGACACUGUGUUAUUACAGCUGGUAUUAAGAUCAUCAAUUCAGUGGUGAGGCUAUAAAUAUUGUAUUUGUGUGUGUGUUGAUGUUGAAGUUAUAGAACUGGCAGAGAUUCAACUGGUUCUGUGGCAGUGAUGAAGGAUGGAUGUGUACAAAUGCUGAAUAUGAAUUGCAGUGCAUUGAAUGAUGAAUAAGGAAUGAAGUUGUAGAUAUUUAGAUACAAGAAUUGAGGUGCAGGGCUGGAUGGUGUUGUAAUUGAUGUGGUUCGAUUGUGAAAUCCAGGGAAGAGCUCGUAGUGGUUCUAGGAUUGAAUGUGUUGAGCUGAGCUAAUGUUAUAGAUGAUUGCUAAGUUCAAUUUUUAUGGAUGUGAAGGAUUAAGUUGAUGGUGAACUAUAGAUGUUGCUGGUGGAGAUGCAAAGUGAAGAUACAUUGGUAAUUAUAGGUGCAUAGUAUGCAAAGAAGUGCUGGUUGGUUAAAUAUGUGUAUGGAAUGUUAGUAUUGAUAGUAAGUGGAUGAGCUAUGUAAUGGUAUGGCAAGGUUGAGUGAAAUGUAACUGAAGUGAAGUUGAAAUAAGUGUGGGAGUUGCAGUUUAUGAUAGUAAUUGAUCUAGGUUGAUCUGUAUUGGUAGAUGUAGGGUUUUGAUGGUCUCGGUGGAGGCUUGCAUUUGCUACCUAAAGGUAAGCUGAAGUUGUAAUUGAAAUUGUGUUUUGAAGUUAUUUUGGAAUUCUAUUAUAGUGAAUUUAUUUGUAUAA